AUUAUCACCUUCAUUUAAUUCUUCCAACACCUUCUGAAAAUUAUUUCGAUCACUUACAUUUUCAAUAACUUUUUCCUUGACUCCCUCUAUCGAAUCAUUUCAGUUUCUAGCCUUUCACUUUUUUGAUUCCAUUUCGAUCACCGAUUCUAAUUCUGAUACACUUUCCACGGAUGCCCCCUGCUUUCUUUUCUUCUUCACUGAAUUGUCUUUACUAUUAAAUUCCUUCGACCAUCCUCUUUCCUUGAUUCUAAUUGAAAAUCUGACAUCUCCUACCUCUAAUAAAGAAACCUUAUUAACAUUUGAACUUGCGAAAUUGAAAUCAUCAUCUCAACCUUCUCAAAGUUAUUCGCACCUGACCAAUUUUCAGCCAUCGACACCAGCGUACCCCAUUUUCUAGCUAUCCUUUUAAACAUCUCAUAGUUCCAGCAAUGUAUAGGUAUUUUAGAUACUUCAAUCCAUUCGAAAACAUCAACUUUUUCGACCAAGGUGCAAUAUGUAUAAAGAAUUCCUUCAAGUACGACCAGUCUCUUUGUUUCAAAAUAUCAUAGAGUUCGUCAUCUGGAAUCUCGAUAAGAAAAUGAUUUCCUUGAAUUCUCUUAACACUGAUUUCAUCUAAGCUCAUUCCCACAACUCUGUCAGCUAAAUUCUUCACUUCACAGAAAGAAACCACCUCCCUCACCAGACAUUUCUGUAGCUUCCAUAGUUGUUCAUUCUCAACAUGGCCUUGUACUAAAUUUCCUAUACUCUUAUCCCCUCGGCCCGAACCAUCACUUUCAAAUCUGUUUGGCAUCUCAACAUCAUAUGUUCCUCGACCACUUUUUCUCUUCUCCCAACGACCACUCUUAUCUGGUUUAAUUCAUUUCUAUCCAAUAAUUUUUUAUGUUUAACCACCCUUCUCCAUAUUGAUAUUCUUACUUUAAACCUUGCUAUAUUCACCCAAAUUUUGCUACCAAGAAUCACAAAACCAUUUAGUCUUGUUAUCGCCCGUUUUGCAUCUAAAAAAUUAGAAAAUCUUAUGAAACCGAAUCUCUUUCUGCUCUUGCUUGUUUUCUCUGGAAUAAAUGCAUCUACCACCUUUCUAUGAUAACUGAAUAAUGUCCAUAGCCCUUUCCAAUGCAUAGUCAUUGGAAUAUUGAACACAAACACUGUGAUAUAAGAUCCUCUCAUUUUUAGUCAUUUAAGAAGAAGAUCUUAACCACUUAUUAUAGGACACUAUCGCAUUGAAGUCAAUAUGGUGCUACUUGGCCAUGGUUGCUUUAUGAUUCAAUCACAGAGUAAGCUGAACCCUCUAGUUUCUACAAUGUUAUCGAGUCCAACUGAGCAGUCAUUUCAAGUGUCAAAUAAAUAACUCUGGCUGUCACCUGACACUGAUUACAAAGCUGAACAUAAGAAGGUAAGGUUGGCGGAUAUAUAAUCUCCUGUCUUGAAUUUGCACAUGUUGUCAUGCUUAUAUUACAUACCAUGCAUCAAGAUUUCUAAUAUUAAGGCUUUUUGCUAUUCAAAGAAUUAGCAGUUCCAC
This 1519-nucleotide long non-coding RNA is filed under the name Gossypium barbadense (sea-island cotton). RNAcentral's name for it is "long non-coding RNA (GBAR_LNC012294)". Lineage: Eukaryota; Viridiplantae; Streptophyta; Magnoliopsida; Malvales; Malvaceae. The record is from RNAcentral.